RNAcentral lists this long non-coding RNA (332 nucleotides) under Cicer arietinum (chickpea). RNAcentral describes it as "long non-coding RNA (CARI_LNC002900)". Lineage: Eukaryota; Viridiplantae; Streptophyta; Magnoliopsida; Fabales; Fabaceae. The record is from RNAcentral.
UAAAACAGAGAAAUAAAUAAAGAAAUGCUUUAGGAUAAAUAAUUGAGUCAUUAUAAUUUACAAGCAGCGGAAAAGUUUCUCCAAAUAUAAAUCCAAAACAUUUACACAACAACAAAUGGUACAUGGAACCCAUUCAAAUAAGAUGUCAAACUGACAAUAUUAGUAUAAGUACAGUUUUCCAAAUUAAAAAUACACCAACCCAAAAAGAAGGACGCCUAGUCCCUACACAUCAACCUAAUCUGAUCAUCCUACCAAAAAACUAUACACCCUGAGUGAUCUCCACGCGCCCCGUGGGAUCCUCCUAUCGUAACUGCAGUCAAGCGCUCCCAUCU